RNAcentral lists this long non-coding RNA (2773 nucleotides) under Salmo salar (Atlantic salmon). RNAcentral's name for it is "lncRNA (ENSSSAG00000107508.1)". The record is from RNAcentral. Lineage: Eukaryota; Metazoa; Chordata; Actinopteri; Salmoniformes; Salmonidae.
UGUCUGUCUGUCUGUCUGUCUCUCUCUCUGUGUCUGUCUCUGUCUCUCUCUCUCUUUCUCUGUCUGUCUCUCUCUCUGUCACUUGCCAAAAGAAGUAAAGUAGAUAAUAAACAAAAGUGAAAUAAACAAUACAAAUUAACAGUAAACAUUACACUCAAAGAAGUUCCAAAAGAAUAAAGACAUUUCAGAUGUCAUAGUAUUUCUAUAUACAGUGUUGUAAUGAUGUGCAAAUAGUUAAAGUACAAAAGGGAAAAUAAAUAAAUAUGGGUUGUAUUUACAAUGGUGUUUGUUCUUCACUGGUUGACCUUUUCUUGUGGCAACAGGUCACACAUCUUGUUGCUGUGAUGACACACUGUGGUAUUUCACCCAGUAGAUAUGGGAGUUUAUCAAAAUUGGGUUUGCUUUCAAAUUCUUUGUGGAUCUGUGUAAUCUGAGGGAAAUAUGUGUCUCUAAUAUGGUCAUACAUUGGACAGGAGGUUAGGAAGUGCAGCUCAGUUUCCACCUCAUUUUGUGGGCAGUGUGCACAUAGCCUGUCUUCUCUUGAGAGCCAGGUCUGCCUACGGCAGCCUUUCUCAAUAGCAAGGCUAUGCUCACUGAGUCUGUACAUAGUCAAAGCUUUCCUUAAGUUUGGGUCAGUCACAGCAGUCAGGUAUUCUGACACUGUGUACUCUCUGUUUAGGGCCAAAUAGCAUUCUAGUUUGCUCAGUUUUUUUGUUGAUUCUUUCCAAUGUGUCAAGUAAUUAUCUUUUUGUUUUCUCGUGAUUUUGUUGGGUGUUCUCUCUCUCACACUCUCUCUCUCUCUGUCUCUCUCAUAGUUUAUGCGAGGGGGAGAAAGAGACUUAUCAGACCUGGCUGCUGUCACUUCGCCAUAUGUCUGUUUGGCUUAGAGCAACAACUGUGUGUGUGUUUGUCUAAGCCGAUAAACGUCUGCCUUCUUCAAAUCAACACACCUACAGUAUCAUGAAGAUGACAGAGGGGAAUGAGGGACACUCCUUCCUCACUAAAGAAGGAACCCCUCCACUCCUUCCUCACUAAAGAAAUAACCCUCCACUCCUUCCUCACUAAAGAAGGAACCCUCCACUCCUUCCUCACUAAAGAAGUAACCCUCCACUCCUUCCUCACUAAAGAAAUAACCCUCCACUCCUUCCUCACUAAAGAAGUAACCCUCCACUCCUUCCUCACUAAAGAAGUAACCCUCCACUCCUUCCUCACUAAAGAAGUAACCCUCCACUCCUUCCUCACUAAAGAAAUAACCCUCCACUCCUUCCUCACUAAAGAAGUAACCCUCCACUCCUUCCUCACUAAAGAAGUAACCCUCCACUCCUUCCUCACUAAAGAAGUAACCCUCCACUCCUUCCUCACUAAAGAAGGAACCCUCCACUCCUUCCUCACUAAAGAAGUAACCCUCCACUCCUUCCUCACUAAAGAAGGAACCCUCCACUCCUUCCUCACUAAAGAAGUAACCCUCCACUCCUUCCUCACUCCUUCCUCGCUAAAGAAGGAACCCUCCACUCCUUCCUCACUAAAGAAGUAACCCCUCCACUCCUUCCUCACUCCUUCCUCACUCCUUCCUCACUAAAGAAGGAACCCUCCACUCCUUCCUCACUAAAGAAGUAACCCUCCACUCCUUCCUCACUAAAGGGCCAAUCCUAACUACCUGUUAGUGCUACAAUUUCACUUCAUAUUGAUGUCAACAGGAGACUUGGUGAAAAUGUGUAUAAAUUAGGAUUCACCUCCAAGACUCCUUCACAAGCGGUCCAAACACUGCAUUAGAAUUGUACACAAUAUUCUAGACUGAAGGAGAAAAACAAUAUGAAACAAGCUCUCUGUCAUUCAGUGAAGGUUUUACUGUCAAAGGGAUUUCAGGAAGGGGCGAGGAAAGGAUGACAGAAAGGUUGUCUGUCAGUUUAAGCCCUGAAUGGGGAUACACAAUCACUCACAGAUAAGUGAAUUAGGUAAACAAAGUUUGUGUGUGUGUGUGUGUGUGUGUGUGUGUGUGUGUGUGUGUGUGUGUGUGUGUGUGUGUGUGGGGUGAUUGGCUGGCUGGUUGGGUCAAAUGGUGUUUCUCUGUAUAAUAGCUGGGGUAAUGUAGCACAACGUUGGACAUAGUGUGUGAUUGGCUGGCUGGCUGGCUGGAUCAGAUGGUGUUUCUCUGUAUAAUAGCUGGGGUAAUGUAGCACAACGUUGGACAUAGUGUGUGAUUGGCUGGCUGGCCGGCUGGAUCAGAUGGUGUUUCUCUGUAUAAUAGCUGGGGUAAUGUAGCACAACGUUGGACAUAGUGUGUGAUUGGCUGGCUGGCUGGAUCAGAUGGUGUUUCUCUGUAUAAUAGCUGGGGUAAUGUAGCACAACGUUGGACAUAGUGUGUGAUUGGCUGGCUGGCCGGCUGGAUCAGAUGGUGUUUCUCUGUAUAAUAGCUGGGGUAAUGUAGCACAACGUUGGACAUAGUGUGGCUGUUUCAAGUCAUAAUGCAUAGAUGCCACUGUUGAAUAGGUCUCGCUCUCUCUCUCUCUCUCUCUCUCUCUCUCUCUCUUUCUUUUCAGGCGUCAUUCUCCCUCCAUCUAACAUCUCUCCUUCCCUCUUUCUCUCAUAUUGCUUAAGCUCUAGUUUUCUCAAACAGAAUAGUGUUGAUGUGGAAGCAGGAGAGGGAGAGAACUGAUGAGAAACAGAAGGGAAAUAAACUGUGGAGGAAAAUAGAGGAAUGUGUAAGAAACCAUCGGUAGCCUUGUUGCUUUCUCCCCCCUACCCUCUCCUUUCUCCCCCCACCCUCUCCUCU